AUGAAGCUGUGUGAGAAGCCGUGGUGGGACAGCACAGUUUGCACUUCAGGCUGUUCCAAUUAAAGUUAAUGUCCUUUCCACUGCCAUGCGUGAAACCUUACAGGUGAGGAAUGAUUUUAAUUAUGAGUAAAUUGCAUCUUGUUCAUGGGGCUGAGGUCAGUGAUUAUACUCAGAAGACAUAAUGAAAUAAACAUGCGUAAAAUUGCAUGAGAAAAUUAAAACCUCUGGGAGAGGAGCUAGAGGGAAAACAGAACGAAGCUGAAUGGUGGAACAAAUAACAUCAGAUUUACAAAAACAGUGGGAAAAAAUUAUGUUAUCUCUUGCUGAGGCUGCAGACAGCGUGGUGGUACCUGAACUCCUCCUGCGUGUGAGUACCAGUAGUGUUAUGUCAGCACAAGCUGCAGUGCUUCCCCUGGGGCUGGCUGUCGCUGGUGUUUCCUCCCUUGUUGCAGCCUAGCCUGCAGUGCUCUUGCAUCUCCCAGUGCACAGCGUGGCUCUGCUCUGACGAUGCCAGCCCUCAUUAAGUACAGGACUGGCACCUCGGCCCAGCGGUGUGGCAGGAGGGCUGCAGAAUCGCAGCUGUUGAUUACCGAAGAUGUUAUCACGUAGCACUCAUACAGUCAAGUCUUGCGGAGAUCGGAGCUGGACUGCUUUCUAGUGCAAAGGCAUGUAUUAGGCCAAGCAGAGUCUUCCAAGGAAGAAACACUAAAGAAUUAAUCUGCUCAUCCAUCUCAGCGAACAUUUCACCUGACCAUAGGUGACUGAAUUCACUGUGAAAUGGUUGCUGAAGCCAGGGAAUAGAGAUCUGCGUGUCCAAGGGAGGCAGCACCUGGGCCAGCACGGCGCAAUUUAGCUGUCCUUUGCUUCACCAAGUCUUUAUGACAGAGCUCCUAGGAUCACACUCACUAUAGGAAGGAAAGAUCUUUUGAUAGAUCAACGUAUUUCUACUUUUUUUCUAAAUAAUUGUUUUAAUGGCAGGCAAGAACAACUACAUUUAACCAUCAAGAAAUAAGUAUCUUAUUAAAAACAAGCAAGCAGCAAGUUUGACGUUUGACUUAGCAUCUCAUGCUGAUCUAUGUGGGAUGGGGAGGAGAUUUCACAGCAGACAAUGAUGAUCAGAAGCCAGGCAGCUGCAGGAGCUGGCCAUGGAAGACCAGGGCUGAGAACAAUGUCAAGUUUUUGGAAGGCGGUUUUUACCCAAGAGCUGCUCAUCUGGAAGAAGGGCCUAUGGGAUACUCUUCUAUGUGCUGUUGCUUCAUGGAGUGAUAGUGGGGAACUGAACACCCAUCAACCACUGGAAAUAUAUGUGAAACUAUGAGAAAUCUGUCAGCUCUCUCAGAGCUCCCCAGAUCUACCCUGGUGCUGUGGUCACAGUCUGGCUGCAUACUGGUCUAAAGUUGUGUGAAUUAAUCAAGAAUCUUGCUCUAGAUUGUGUUUACUGGUGAUGUUUUUACUGCUAUAUGAUUUUUUUUUUUUUUUAAAUCUGCCAGCUGGAGAGGGGAGUUAUGCCUAAUUUAACAGCCAUUGAUCACACCGUCAAUAUUCAGGAUCCUAGUUCUUCCUUUUAUUGGAAAUGAAAACAAUACAAGCCACAUAUAUUGGAGAUACUAUUUUUUAUUUAUGAGCAUCAUAUGUGAAAUGUUGAUCUCUGGAAGGCAGGUAUGAAAGAGCAGGAGGCGGUUGAGGAGCCCCAGAGCCCCUCCUAGCAGCACUGGAGGCAGUGGGCUCUGGUUGCCUGCCCUCCCAGCUGGCUAAACUCAGGCUCAGAGCAUGUAUCUGCUGUCAUCCUGCCUUUCCUACUGCCUUCUUUGCUCUUCCCAGGAACAUCUCCAUGAAGCCAUAAUGCCCACCUCCCUCCCACUGCCUUCCUCACUGCCACCCACAUCGUUUACUUAUCACCAGUGCAACACCUGCCAGAUGCAGCAGUUUUUUCUCAUUUGGGCUAGUUUAUUCUUAAAAGGAAUUUAGCAGCUUAUUUUUAUCCUGAAUGAAGGCUGCAAUAUUGUUCAUGCUCUGCUUCAGUGAGGUUUCAUUAAAUUUCUACCCUAGUAUUAAUGAUUUUUUUAAACUAUCAGGAGUUCCAGAGAAAUUGCUGUCAAUGAUCACUACGUGCUCUGUGUUUAGCAGAGAAAGAUGCAGCUAAGAAUAUUUGCUAACCCAUAAAUUCCUUAGCAGAAUUGCUUUAGGUAAUGCCUCCACCUGCCAUGAAGUCUCCUGUGCUUCUGGCACUGGAGGACUGGAUCGCAGCAGAGGGCAGCUGGACAGCCGAGAGCAGCUUUGCCAAACCCUCUGUCAGCAGCAGGGUGCUUGGCCCCAACCUCAGCCACCGGCUGACACAGCAGCCCCCACGCCACCAGGGCUAUUUCUGUUGCUUUUAAGCAAGUGGUGCUGGGCUGCGGGAGCCCACUCCAGAUUCCUCCCAGUGUCAGCUGUUGCUACUGGUCAUACGUACCCACGAAUAUCGUACUGACCUAACCCUGCUCAAUUCAAGGCAGUCUUCUGGUGGGAAAACAAUGAAAGGUGGUCUCUUUCCACGCCUGGGCCAUGCAUUGGAGCACGGACUAGCAGCAGCUCUGUUGUGUGGCUCUGAAAUGGUGCACAGUGUUGUGAUCCAUUUCAGAAGCGUGCAGCUGCCUAGCAAAAAUGCUGCUUUACAAGGAAAACAAGAAAAAUAAUACAUAAAAAGAUGAAGGAGUAUUUUUGUAUUUCUUCCUCUGCCUUCAAAAUUCAUCGUAGUAUGA
Non-coding RNA from Anas platyrhynchos (mallard), 2741 nucleotides. The record is from RefSeq and is a predicted model, not a curated record. NCBI's taxonomy places the organism in Eukaryota, Metazoa, Chordata, Aves, Anseriformes, Anatidae.